AGAGUUUGAUCCUGGCUCAGGACGAACGCUGGCGGCGUGCUUAACACAUGCAAGUCGAACGAGACGAUUGAAAGCUUGCUUUUGAAAGUCGAGUGGCAAACGGGUGAGUAACGCGUAGACAACCUGCCGUAAAGAUGGGGACAACAGUCCGAAAGGACUGCUAAUACCGAAUGUUGUAAAUCUUCUGCAUGGGAGACUUACUAAAGGUGGCCUCUACUUGUAAGCUAUCGCCUUACGAUGGGUCUGCGUCUGAUUAGCUGGUUGGUGGGGUAACGGCCUACCAAGGCAACGAUCAGUAGCCGGUCUGAGAGGAUGAACGGCCACAUUGGAACUGAGACACGGUCCAGACUCCUACGGGAGGCAGCAGUGGGGAAUCUUCCGCAAUGGGCGCAAGCCUGACGGAGCAACGCCGCGUGAGUGAAGAAGGGUUUCGACUCGUAAAGCUCUGUUGUCGGGGACGAACGUGGAGACGGCGAAUAGCCGUUUCCAAUGACGGUACCUGACGAGGAAGCCACGGCUAACUACGUGCCAGCAGCCGCGGUAAUACGUAGGUGGCGAGCGUUGUCCGGAAUUAUUGGGCGUAAAGGGAGCGCAGGCGGGAAGGUAAGUCUAUCUUAAAAGUGCGGGGCUCAACCCCGUGAGGGGAUGGAAACUAUCUUUCUUGAGUGCAGGAGAGGAAAGCGGAAUUCCUAGUGUAGCGGUGAAAUGCGUAGAUAUUAGGAGGAACACCAGUGGCGAAGGCGGCUUUCUGGACUGUAACUGACGCUGAGGCUCGGAAGCAUGGGUAGCAAACAGGAUUAGAUACCCUGGUAGUCCAUGCCGUAAACGAUGAUUACUAGGUGUUGGGGGAUUGACCCCAUCAGUGCCGCAGUUAACACAAUAAGUAAUCCACCUGGGGAGUACGACCGCAAGGUUGAAACUCAAAGGAAUUGACGGGGGCCCGCACAAGCAGUGGAGUAUGUGGUUUAAUUCGAAGCAACGCGAAGAACCUUACCAGGUCUUGACAUCCGAUGCAUAGCACAGAGAUGUGUGAAAUCCUUCGGGACAUCGAGACAGGUGGUGCAUGGUUGUCGUCAGCUCGUGUCGUGAGAUGUUGGGUUAAGUCCCGCAACGAGCGCAACCCUUAUUGCCAGUUACUACGUUAAGAGGGCUCUGGCGAGACUGCCGUUGACAAAACGGAGGAAGGUGGGGAUGACGUCAAAUCAUCAUGCCCUUUAUGACCUGGGCUACACACGUACUACAAUGGCGUUAAACAAAGAGAAGCAAGACCGCGAGGUGGAGCAAAACUCAAAAACAACGUCUCAGUUCAGAUUGCAGGCUGCAACUCGCCUGCAUGAAGUCGGAAUUGCUAGUAAUCGCGGAUCAGCAUGCCGCGGUGAAUACGUUCCCGGGCCUUGUACACACCGCCCGUCACACCAUGAGAGCCGGGGGGACCCGAAGUCGAUAGUCUAACCGCAAGGAGGACGUCGCCGAAGGUAAAACUGGUGAUUGGGGUGAAGUCGUAACAAGGUA
This 1512-nucleotide ribosomal RNA is filed under the name metagenome. RNAcentral describes it as "bacterial SSU rRNA". It matches the Rfam family "Bacterial small subunit ribosomal RNA". The record is from RNAcentral.